Molecule: ribosomal RNA, 864 nt
Filed under: Salmonella enterica subsp. enterica
Lineage: Bacteria; Pseudomonadati; Pseudomonadota; Gammaproteobacteria; Enterobacterales; Enterobacteriaceae
Description: partial 23S ribosomal RNA
Rfam family: Bacterial large subunit ribosomal RNA
Source: RNAcentral
CACGGCGGGUGCUAACGUCCGUCGUGAAGAGGGAAACAACCCAGACCGCCAGCUAAGGUCCCAAAGUCAUGGUUAAGUGGGAAACGAUGUGGGAAGGCCCAGACAGCCAGGAUGUUGGCUUAGAAGCAGCCAUCAUUUAAAGAAAGCGUAAUAGCUCACUGGUCGAGUCGGCCUGCGCGGAAGAUGUAACGGGGCUAAACCAUGCACCGAAGCUGCGGCAGCGACACUAUGUGUUGUUGGGUAGGGGAGCGUUCUGUAAGCCUGCGAAGGUGGCCUGUGAGGGUUGCUGGAGGUAUCAGAAGUGCGAAUGCUGACAUAAGUAACGAUAAAGCGGGUGAAAAGCCCGCUCGCCGGAAGACCAAGGGUUCCUGUCCAACGUUAAUCGGGGCAGGGUGAGUCGACCCCUAAGGCGAGGCCGAAAGGCGUAGUCGAUGGGAAACGGGUUAAUAUUCCCGUACUUGGUGUUACUGCGAAGGGGGGACGGAGAAGGCUAUGUUGGCCGGGCGACGGUUGUCCCGGUUUAAGCGUGUAGGUGUGUGUUCCAGGUAAAUCCGGUUCACUUUAACACUGAGGCGUGACGACGAGGCACUACGGUGCUGAAGCAACAAAUGCCCUGCUUCCAGGAAAAGCCUCUAAGCAUCAGGUAACAUCAAAUCGUACCCCAAACCGACACAGGUGGUCAGGUAGAGAAUACCAAGGCGCUUGAGAGAACUCGGGUGAAGGAACUAGGCAAAAUGGUGCCGUAACUUCGGGAGAAGGCACGCUGACACGUAGGUGAAGUGAUUUACUCACGGAGCUGAAGUCAGUCGAAGAUACCAGCUGGCUGCAACUGUUUAUUAAAAACACAGCACUGUGCAAACACGA